GACGAACGCUGGCGGCAUGCCUAAUACAUGCAAGUCGAGCGAACAUUUAUAGAAGUUUGCUUCUUUACAUGUUAGCGGCGGAUGGGUGAGUAACACGUGGGCAACCUGCCCUGCAGAUGGGGAUAACUCCGGGAAACCGGGUCUACUCCCGUAUAAUCAUUUUGCCCGCAUGGCCAAACUCUAAAAGACGUCUUCGGCUGUCACUGCAGGAUGCGCCCGCGGCGCAUUAGCUAGUUGGUGUGAUAACGGCCUACCAAGGCAACGAUGCGUAGCCGACCUGAGAGGGUGAUCGGCCACACUGGGACUGAGACACGGCCCAGACUCCUACGGGAGGCAGCAGUAGGGAAUCUUCCGCAAUGGACGGAAGUCUGAUGGAGCAAUGCCGCGUGAGCGAAGAAGGUGUUCGGAUCGUAAAGCUCUGUUGUGAGGGAAGAACAAAUACGGGAGUAACUGCCCGUGCCUUGACGGUACCUCAUUAGAAAGCCACGGCUAACUACGUG
Molecule: ribosomal RNA, 500 nt
Filed under: uncultured bacterium
Lineage: Bacteria
Description: partial 16S ribosomal RNA
Rfam family: Bacterial small subunit ribosomal RNA
Source: RNAcentral